CGGCCCAUGAACCCCGCCAGGUCCGGAAGGAAGCAACGGUAAGUGGUUUCCGGUGGGUGCCGCGAGAUCGCCUGGUCGG
RNAcentral lists this signal recognition particle RNA (79 nucleotides) under Armatimonadota bacterium. RNAcentral describes it as "Armatimonadetes bacterium (hot springs metagenome) partial signal recognition particle sRNA small type". It matches the Rfam family "Bacterial small signal recognition particle RNA", at positions 21 to 97 of the family's 97-position model. Rfam says of the family: The signal recognition particle (SRP) is a universally conserved ribonucleoprotein involved in the co-translational targeting of proteins to membranes. Lineage: Bacteria; Bacillati; Armatimonadota. The record is from RNAcentral.